RNAcentral lists this ribosomal RNA (253 nucleotides) under uncultured bacterium. RNAcentral's name for it is "partial 16S ribosomal RNA". It matches the Rfam family "Bacterial small subunit ribosomal RNA", at positions 524 to 776 of the family's 1533-position model. The record is from RNAcentral.
UACAGAGGGGGCAAGCGUUAUUCGGAAUUAUUGGGCGUAAAGGGCGCGUAGGCGGCUUUGCAAGUGACGGGUGAAAUCCCUCGGCUUAACCGAGGAACUGCCUGUCAGACUGUGAGGCUUGAGACCGGGAGAGGUGAGUGGAAUUCCCAGUGUAGCGGUGAAAUGCGUAGAUAUUGGGAGGAACACCAGUGGCGAAGGCGACUCUUUGGCCUGUAACUGACACUGAGGCGCGAAAGCGUGGGGAGCAAACAGG